GUGGGGAAUCUUGCGCAAUGGGCGAAAGCCUGACGCAGCCAUGCCGCGUGAAUGAUGAAGGUCUUAGGAUUGUAAAAUUCUUUCACCGGGGAAGAUAAUGACGGUACCCGGAGAAGAAGCCCCGGCUAACUUCGUGCCAGCAGCCGCGGUAAUACGAAGGGGGCUAGCGUUGCUCGGAAUUACUGGGCGUAAAGGGCGCGUAGGCGGACAUUUAAGUCAGAGGUGAAAGCCCAGGGCUCAACCUUGGAAUUGCCUUUGAUACUGGAUGUGUUGAGUUCGGGAGAGGUGAGUGGAAUGCCGAGUGUAGAGGUGAAAUUCGUAGAUAUUCGGAAGAACACCAGUGGCGAAGGCGACUCACUGGCCCAAUACUGACGCUGAGGCGCGAAAGCGUGGGGAGCAAACAGGAUUAGAUACCCGAGUAGUCC
This 425-nucleotide ribosomal RNA is filed under the name uncultured bacterium. RNAcentral's name for it is "partial 16S ribosomal RNA". It matches the Rfam family "Bacterial small subunit ribosomal RNA", at positions 354 to 796 of the family's 1533-position model. The record is from RNAcentral.